Long non-coding RNA from Rana temporaria (common frog), 350 nucleotides. RefSeq lists it as uncharacterized. The transcript is spliced from 3 exons. Lineage: Eukaryota; Metazoa; Chordata; Amphibia; Anura; Ranidae. The record is from RefSeq and is a predicted model, not a curated record.
UUGGGGGGGUGGUCCCUAUAAGAGGGUGUCACCUAUGGCAGGUACAGGCAUUUGGCUCUUCACAUGUCAUCACUCCAUGCAGCACACUCGGAACUCACAGCCAUCAUUCCUUACCGACCACAGUGCAUUCAAUACACCAUGCCUCAUGCCUGUGCCACCUGGGUGCGCUCUCCUGACAGGCCCUGCACCCCUCAUUCUCCAGCCCUAGUCCCCGGCAGUGACCACCCCAAUCCUGGGGUCCAUCCGGAGCUUCACUCUAGUGCCAGCGGCAAUCGGCAACCUGAUAACCAAUGUAAUGCAUGCCUGCUCCUGAUGAGCGACCAACAGUCAUGAAACGCGUAGAGCUCUAU